Molecule: ribosomal RNA, 492 nt
Filed under: uncultured bacterium
Lineage: Bacteria
Description: partial 16S ribosomal RNA
Rfam family: Bacterial small subunit ribosomal RNA
Source: RNAcentral
AGUGAACGCUGGCGGUAGGCCUAACACAUGCAAGUCGAACGGCAGCACAGUAAGAGCUUGCUCUUACGGGUGGCGAGUGGCGGACGGGUGAGGAAUACAUCGGAAUCUACUUUUUCGUGGGGGAUAACGUAGGGAAACUUACGCUAAUACCGCAUACUACCUACGGGUGAAAGCAGGGGAUCUUCGGACCUUGCGCGAUUGAAUGAGCCGAUGUCGGAUUAGCUAGUUGGCGGGGUAAAGGCCCACCAAGGCGACGAUCCGUAGCUGGUCUGAGAGGAUGAUCAGCCACACUGGAACUGAGACACGGUCCAGACUCCUACGGGAGGCAGCAGUGGGGAAUAUUGGACAAUGGGCGCAAGCCUGAUCCAGCCAUACCGCGUGGGUGAAGAAGGCCUUCGGGUUGUAAAGCACUUUUGUUGGGAAAGAAAAGCAGCAGGUUAAUACCCCGAUGUUCUGACGGUACCCAAAGAAUAAGCACCGGCUAACUUCGUG